RNAcentral lists this ribosomal RNA (498 nucleotides) under uncultured bacterium. RNAcentral's name for it is "partial 16S ribosomal RNA". It matches the Rfam family "Bacterial small subunit ribosomal RNA", at positions 27 to 507 of the family's 1533-position model. The record is from RNAcentral.
GGAUGAACGCUGGCGGCGUGCCUAAUACAUGCAAGUCGAGCGAACAGAUGAGGAGCUUGCUCCUCUGACGUUAGCGGCGGACGGGGGAGUAACACGUGGAUAACCUACCUAUAAGACUGGGAUAACUUCGGGAAACCGGAGCUAAUACCGGAUAAUAUAUUGAACCGCAUGGUUCAAUAGUGAAAGACGGUUUUGCUGUCACUUAUAGAUGGAUCCGCGCCGCAUUAGCUAGUUGGUAAGGUAACGGCUUACCAAGGCAACGAUGCGUAGCCGACCUGAGAGGGUGAUCGGCCACACUGGAACUGAGACACGGUCCAGACUCCUACGGGAGGCAGCAGUAGGGAAUCUUCCGCAAUGGGCGAAAGCUUGACGGAGCAACGCCGCGUGAGUGAUGAAGGUCUUCGGAUCGUAAAACUCUGUUAUUAGGGAAGAACAAAUGUGUAAGUAACUAUGCACGUCUUGACGGUACCUAAUCAGAAAGCCACGGCUAACUACGUG